This 1349-nucleotide ribosomal RNA is filed under the name metagenome. RNAcentral's name for it is "bacterial LSU rRNA". It matches the Rfam family "Bacterial large subunit ribosomal RNA", at positions 1564 to 2925 of the family's 2925-position model. The record is from RNAcentral.
UGAGUGCGAGCGGCUACGGCCGCGAAGUGGGUGAUGUCAAGCUUCCAAGAAAAGCCCUAUACCCGUUAAGGCAUGAUGGCCUGUACCCGAAACCGACACAGGUGGGGUGGUAGAGAAUACCGAGGGGCGCGAGGUAACUCUCUCUAAGGAACUCGGCAAAAUGGCCCCGUAACUUCGGGAGAAGGGGUGCCACCGCAAGGUGGUCGCAGUGAAGAGGCCCAGGCGACUGUUUACCAAAAACACAGGUCUCCGCUAAGUCGCAAGACGAUGUAUGGGGGCUGACGCCUGCCCAGUGCCGGAAGGUUAAGGAAGCUGGUCAGCGCAAGCGAAGCUGGCGACUGAAGCCCCGGUGAACGGCGGCCGUAACGAUAACGGUCCUAAGGUAGCGAAAUUCCUUGUCGGGUAAGUUCCGACCCGCACGAAAGGCGUAACGAUCUGGGCGCUGUCUCGGAGAGAGGCUCGGCGAAAUAGAAUUGUCUGUGAAGAUGCGGACUACGUGCACCCGGACAGAAAGACCCUAUGAAGCUUUACUGUAGCUUGGUAUUGUGCCCGGGCUCUGAAUGCGCAGGAUAGGUGGGAGGCUUUGAUCCAUGGCUUGCGGGUCAUGGUGAGCCAACGGUGAGAUACCACUCUUUCAGAGCUAGGGUUCUAACGGUCACCCGUCAUCCGGGGACCGGACAGUAUCAGGUGGGCAGUUUGACUGGGGCGGUCGCCUCCUAAAAGGUAACGGAGGCGCGCAAAGGUUUGCUCAGGCUGGUUGGAAAUCAGCCGACGAGUGCAAAAGCAGAAGCAAGCUUGACUGUGAGACCUACAAGUCGAACAGGGACGAAAGUCGGCUUUAGUGAUCCGACGGUUCUGAGUGGAAGGGCCGUCGCUCAACGGAUAAAAGUUACUCUAAGGAUAACAGGCUGAUCUCCCCCAAGAGUUCACAUCGACGGGGAGGUUUGGCACCUCGAUGUCGGCUCAUCGCAACCUGGGGCUGAAGUCGGUCCCAAGGGUUGGGCUGUUCGCCCAUUAAAGCGGUACGCGAGCUGGGUUCAGAACGUCGUGAGACAGUUCGGUCCAUAUCCGGUGCACGCGCAGGAACAUUGAGAGGAUUUCUCCCUAGUACGAGAGGACCGGGAGGAACGCACCUCUGGUGUGCCAGUUAUCGUGCCAACGGUAAACGCUGGGUAGCCAUGUGCGGAGUGGAUAACCGCUGAAAGCAUCUAAGUGGGAAGCCCACCUCAAGAUGAGUGUUCCCAUGGCAUAAGCCAGUAAGGUCACGGGAAGAACACCCGUUGAUAGGCUCUACGUGGAAGCCGGGUAACCGGUGAAGCGGAGGAGUACUAAUAGACCGAGGGCUUGAC